This 74-nucleotide transfer RNA is filed under the name Thermotogota bacterium. RNAcentral's name for it is "Thermotogae bacterium tRNA-Gln". It matches the Rfam family "tRNA". Rfam says of the family: Transfer RNA (tRNA) molecules are approximately 80 nucleotides in length. The record is from RNAcentral. RNAcentral also lists the same sequence under 2 other names. Lineage: Bacteria; Thermotogati; Thermotogota.
UGGGGCGUGGCCAAGCGGUAAGGCGGCGGACUUUGGAUCCGCUAUCGGAGGUUCGAAUCCUCCCGCCCCAGCCA